AGAGUUUGAUCCUGGCUCAGAACGAACGCUGGCGGCAUGGCUAAGACAUGCAAGUCGAACGGAUCUUACAAUUGGGUAACCGAGAGUAGGGUUAGUGGCGAAAGGGUGAGGAAUGAAUAGGUAACGUACCCCAAACUUCAGAAUAGCGUCUAGGUGCUUGCACCUUUCCGAAAGGGGCGGUAAUACUGAAUAAUAUCAUCAGCUUGAUGUUGAUGAUCAAAGAUUUAUCGGUUUGGGAGCGGCCUAUUUCCUAUCAGCUUGUUGGUGAGGUAACGGCUCACCAAGGCGACGACGGGUAGCGGGACUGAGAGGUUGGCCCGCCACAUUGGGACUGAGACACUGCCCAGACCCCCACGGGGGGCUGCAGUAACGAAUAUUCGCCAAUGGGAGAAAUCCUGAGCGUGCGACGCCGCGUGAGCGAUGAAGGCCUUCGGGUCGUAAAGCUCUGUGUUAUGGGAAGAAACUCCGGUAGGUAAAUAAUCUACCGGACUGACGGUACCACAAUAGAAAGCCCCGGCUAACUACGUGCCAGCAGCCGCGGUAAUACGUAGGGGGCAAGCGUUGUUCGGAAUCACUGGGCGUAAAGGGCGUACAGGCGGCCAUGUAAGUUGGAUGUGAAAUUCUCGGGCUUAACCCGAGACCUGCAUUCAAUACUGCUUGGCUUGAGAUCAGGAGAGGAGAGUGGAAUAUGUGGUGUAGCGGUGAAAUGCGUAGAGAUCACAUAGAACACCGGUGGCGAAGGCGGCUCUCUGGCCUGAUUCUGACGCUGACGCGCGAAAGUUAGGGUAGCGAACGGGAUUAGAUACCCCGGUAGUCCUAACUGUAAACGAUGGGUACUAAGUGUAGGAGGUCAUUGACCCCUCCUGUGCUGUAGCUAACGCAUUAAGUACCCCGCCUGGGGACUACGGUCGCAAGACUAAAACUCAAUGUAAUUGACGGGGGCCCGCACAAGCGGUGGAGCAUGUCGCUUAAUUCGAAGCAACGCGAAGAACCUUAUCCAGUGGCUUGACAUCCUCUGACAACUGUGGAAACACAGCUUUCUCUUAUGGGACAGAGUGACAGGUGCUGCAUGGCAGUCGUCAGCUCGUGUCGUGAGAUGUUGGGUUAAGUCCCGCAACGAGCGCAACCCCUGUCUCUAGUUGCCAGCGUGUAAUGGCGGGGACUCUAGAGAUACUGCCGGUGAUAAGCCGGAGGAAGGUGGGGAUGACGUCAUGUCCUCAUGCCCUUAUGCCCUGGGCUGCACACGUGCUACAAUGGUCGGUACAACGAGUCGUGAAACCGCGAGGUCGAACCAAUCUCUAAAAACCGGCCCCAGUUGGGAUUGUAGUCUGCAACUCGACUACAUGAACGUGGAAUCGCUAGUAAUCGCGAAUCAGCAGGUCGCGGUGAAUACGUUCCCGGGCCUUGUACACACCGCCCGUCACACCACGAAAGUUGGUAGCAUUCGAAGCCUACGAGCUAACC
Molecule: ribosomal RNA, 1464 nt
Filed under: metagenome
Description: bacterial SSU rRNA
Rfam family: Bacterial small subunit ribosomal RNA
Source: RNAcentral